AGCGAACGCUGGCGGCAGGCUUAACACAUGCAAGUCGAACGGUCCUUCGGGAUAGUGGCGGACGGGUGAGUAACACGUGGGAAUCUACCCAACCCUGCGGAACAACUCCGGGAAACUGGAGCUAAUACCGCAUUCGCCCUUCGGGGGCAGGAUUUAUCGGGGAUGGAUGCGCCCGCGUUGGAUUAGCUAGUUGGUGGGGUAAAGGCCUACCAAGGCGACGAUCCAUAGCUGGUCUGAGAGGAUGAUCAGCCACAUUGGGACUGAGACACGGCCCAAACUCCUACGGGAGGCAGCAGUGGGGAAUAUUGGACAAUGGGCGCAAGCCUGAUCCAGCCAUGCCGCGUGAGUGAUGAAGGCCUUAGGGUUGUAAAGCUCUUUCACCGAUGAAGAUAAUGACGGUAGUCGGAGAAGAAGCCCCGGCUAACUUCGUGCCAGCAGCCGCCGUAA
This 447-nucleotide ribosomal RNA is filed under the name uncultured bacterium. RNAcentral's name for it is "partial 16S ribosomal RNA". It matches the Rfam family "Bacterial small subunit ribosomal RNA", at positions 29 to 523 of the family's 1533-position model. The record is from RNAcentral.